This 233-nucleotide ribosomal RNA is filed under the name uncultured bacterium. Its description in RNAcentral is "partial 16S ribosomal RNA". It matches the Rfam family "Bacterial small subunit ribosomal RNA", at positions 1259 to 1500 of the family's 1533-position model. The record is from RNAcentral.
GACCGGAUGCGGAUCUCGAAAGCCUGUCCCAGUUCGGACUGGAGUCUGCAACCCGACUCCACGAAGUUGGAUUCGCUAGUAAUCGCGCAUCAGCCAUGGCGCGGUGAAUACGUUCCCGGGCCUUGUACACACCGCCCGUCAAGCCAUGGGAGCCGGGGGCGCCUGAAGUCCGGGACCGCGAGGACCGGCCUAGGGCGAAACUGGUAACUGGGGCUAAGUCGUAACAAGGUACC